Molecule: ribosomal RNA, 400 nt
Filed under: uncultured bacterium
Lineage: Bacteria
Description: bacterial SSU rRNA
Rfam family: Bacterial small subunit ribosomal RNA
Source: RNAcentral
UGGGGAAUAUUGCACAAUGGGCGCAAGCCUGAUGCAGCCAUGCCGCGUGUGUGAAGAAGGCCUUAGGGUUGUAAAGCACUUUCAGCGAGGAGGAAGGGUGAUGUGUUAAUAGCGCAUCACAUUGACGUUACUCGCAGAAGAAGCACCGGCUAACUCCGUGCCAGCAGCCGCGGUAAUACGGAGGGUGCAAGCGUUAAUCGGAAUUACUGGGCGUAAAGCGCACGCAGGCGGUUUGUUAAGUCAGAUGUGAAAUCCCCGAGCUUAACUUGGGAACUGCAUUUGAAACUGGCAAGCUAGAGUCUUGUAGAGGGGGGUAGAAUUCCAGGUGUAGCGGUGAAAUGCGUAGAGAUCUGGAGGAAUACCGGUGGCGAAGGCGGCCCCCUGGACAAAGACUGACGCU